This is a long non-coding RNA of Diuraphis noxia (Russian wheat aphid), 1027 nucleotides long. The record is from RefSeq and is a predicted model, not a curated record. Lineage: Eukaryota; Metazoa; Arthropoda; Insecta; Hemiptera; Aphididae.
UUGAGUUAUUUCUAUAUGUACCUAUUAACGGUCACCCGGUCCUUUGCAGGUCACUUUGUAUAUUGGUUUUUUGUUAGAUAAUGUCUGUGUAAAAUUUUUUUUAGUUUUUUAUUUUUUUUAUCACCAUCUAAGGAUAACCGCCAUCCCCGUAGGAGCCUUUGUGGUACACAGGCUCAGUGGAAUAUUGAUUAAGGAUGCUCUACACAAUUCCGAAGGAGGAAAUAAAAUUAAUAAAUUUUAAUUUUCCAAAAUUGCAAAAGGUAUAGCAGAGUUAUUUCCUUCGGAAUCUGAAUAUGUUUAUUUCAUUCCAUAUUUUAGAGAAGGCAUUAAAGUUAGCCCAAAUCGAGGGGAAUCGUACGAUAAAUAUUGUAACAUAAAAAAAGAAAUUAAUAGAAUCAAUACAGCAACUAAACAAAAAAAACUCUUGUAACAAAGACGAUACAGUUUUUAUAAACGAAGAAGACAUUUUGGAUUCAAUAAAUUGGCUAAAGCACAAUAUUGAACCUGAAAUAACUUUGUAUAAGCUGUGGGCAGAAACUGCAAGUUGUCGUUUGCAAAAACAAAGUAUUGACAAAUAACUCUUAAAUACCCAGCUUUAAAAAAGUCAAAGAGUCAUAUACUUGAGAUGAUGAUUUAGCUGCCAUUCAAUUAUUACCCUACCUAUUUAAUCCUGUUAACAUUAAAUUACCAAAAAAAAAACCACUGUCAACAAUGUCACAAAAUAUUCAAUGCGAAGACUAACAAAAUUAGAACAAGCUAGUUCAUAACAAGCUAGUUACAUAACUAAUAUCAAUGAUCUUAAAACAACGCACAAAGAAAAAGUGAACAGGGCAUUUAAUUGUGGGAUUAUUGUUCAACGAUAUAUUGCCAUUGUGGGUAAUCUUGAAGGAUAAAUACUUCACUCAGCUACUAUACAGUUUUUAAUGACGUAUAUUAUAAACUAGAAACUCCCAUCAAGGCCUUAGAUAUAUACUUUAAAUCAUUUCAUUCAUUCAAUUUAGAAUAUCUUCAAGAGGCUAAACAGGUA